Molecule: ribosomal RNA, 423 nt
Filed under: uncultured bacterium
Lineage: Bacteria
Description: partial 16S ribosomal RNA
Rfam family: Bacterial small subunit ribosomal RNA
Source: RNAcentral
AAUCAUGGACAAUGGUGGAAACCCUGAUCCAGCCAUCCCGCGUGUUGGAUGAAGGACUUCGGUUUGCAAAGUACUUUUGGCAGAGAAGAAAAGGUACCUCCUAAUACGAGGUACUGCUGACGGUAUCUGCAGUAGAAGUACCGGCACACUCCGUGCCCGCAGCCGGGGUAAUACGUAGGGCGCAAGCGUUAAUCGGAAUUACUGGGCGUAAAGCGUGUGUAGGCGGUUCGGAAAGAAAGAUGUGAAAGCCCAGGGCUCAACCUUGGAACUGCAUUUUUAACUGCCGAGCUAGGGUAUGUAAGAGGGGGGUAGAAUUCCACGUGUAGCAGUGAAAUGCGUAGAUAUGUGGAGGAAUACCGAUGGCGAAGGCAGCCCCCUGGGAUAAUACUGACGCUCAGACACGAAAGCGUGGGGAGCAAACAG